This 523-nucleotide ribosomal RNA is filed under the name uncultured Glomeromycotina. Its description in RNAcentral is "SSU rRNA". It matches the Rfam family "Eukaryotic small subunit ribosomal RNA", at positions 548 to 1074 of the family's 1831-position model. Lineage: Eukaryota; Fungi; Glomeromycota. The record is from RNAcentral.
UUGGAGGGCAAGUCUGGUGCCAGCAGCCGCGGUAAUUCCAGCUCCAAUAGCGUAUAUUAAAGUUGUUGCAGUUAAAAAGCUCGUAGUUGAAUUUCGGAAUCCAUCCAUCGGUCGGGCCUCACGGUCCGCACUGGUGUGAUGGAUUUCUACCUUCUGAAUAACCAGCAUGUCAUUAAUUUGGUGCGUUGGGGAAGCAGGACUGUUACCUUGAAAAAUUAGAGUGCUUAAAGCAGGCUAGUGCCUGAAUACAUUAGCAUGGAAUAAUGAAAUAGGACGGCAUGGUUCUAUUUUGUUGGUUUCUAGGAUCACCGUAAUGAUUAAUAGGGAUAGUUGGGGGCAUUAGUAUUCAAUUGUCAGAGGUGAAAUUCUUGGAUUUAUUGAAGACUAACUUCUGCGAAAGCAUUUGCCAAGGAUGUUUUCAUUAAUCAAGAGCGAAAGUUAGGGGAUCGAAGACGAUCAGAUACCGUCGUAGUCUUAGCCAUAAACUAUGCCGACUAGGGAUCGGACGAUGUUAAUUUUUAAU